UCCCGGUUGGCCCGGGCAGUCUUGCCUGAAAAAUACAACAGACAACAAGGGUUGCGCUCGUUGCGGGACUUAACCCAACAUCUCACGACACGAGCUGACGACGGCCAUGCAGCACCUGUCACCUGGCUCCCGAAGGCACUCCCACCUUUCGGCGGGAUUCCAGGGAUGUCAAGCCUCGGUAAGGUUCUUCGCGUAGCAUCGAAUUAAACCACAUGAUCCACUGCUUGUGCGGGUCCCCGUCAAUUCCUUUGAGUUUUAAUCUUGCGAUCGUACUCCCCAGGCGGCAUACUUAACGCGUUAGCUUCUCAGCCCAAAGGGUCGAUACUUCAGACUGAUAGUAUGCAUCGUUUACGGCGUGGACUAC
This 364-nucleotide unclassified non-coding RNA is filed under the name uncultured bacterium. RNAcentral's name for it is "contains 16S-23S intergenic spacer region". The record is from RNAcentral.